RNAcentral lists this ribosomal RNA (570 nucleotides) under uncultured bacterium. RNAcentral's name for it is "bacterial SSU rRNA". It matches the Rfam family "Bacterial small subunit ribosomal RNA", at positions 116 to 716 of the family's 1533-position model. The record is from RNAcentral.
CGUGGGAACGUACCCUAAACUGAGGGAUAAGCUCCAGAAAUGGAGUCUAAUACCGCAUAGUCUCCUCAAGAGUAAAGCUUUCGAGCGGUUUAGGAGCGGCCUGCGUACGAUUAGUUUGUUGGUGAGGUAAAGGCUCACCAAGGCGAUGAUCGUUAGCUGGUCUGAGAGGAUGAUCAGCCAGACUGGGACUGAGACACGGCCCAGACCCCUACGGGGGGCAGCAACUAGGAAUCUUUCACAAUGGGCGAAAGCCUGAUGGAGCAACGCCGCGUGCAGGAGGAAGGCCUUCGGGUCGUAAACUGCUUUUAUAUGUGACGAUUAUGACGGUAGCAUAUGAAUAAGGAUCGGCUAAUUCCGUGCCAGCAGCCGCGGUCAUACGGGAGAUCCAAGCGUUAUCCGGAAUUACUGGGCGUAAAGAGUUGCGUAGGUGGCUAAGUAAGCGAAGCAUGAAAUCUUAUGGCUCAACUAUAAGGCUAUGCUUUGAACUGCUUUGGCUUGAGAUCGAGAGAGGUAGAUGGAAUUCCCAGUGUAGGGGUGAAAUCCGUAGAUAUUGGGAAGAACACCGAUGGC